RNAcentral lists this ribosomal RNA (401 nucleotides) under uncultured bacterium. RNAcentral describes it as "bacterial SSU rRNA". It matches the Rfam family "Bacterial small subunit ribosomal RNA", at positions 58 to 507 of the family's 1533-position model. The record is from RNAcentral.
CAAGUCGAACGAGACCUUCGGGUCUAGUGGCGCACGGGUGCGUAACGCGUGGGAAUCUGCCUUGGGUCGGAAUAACAGUUAGAAAUGACUGCUAAUACCGGAUAAUGUCUUCGGACCAAAGAUUUAUCGCCCAGGGAUGAGCCCGCGUAGGAUUAGCUAGUUGGUGAGGUAAAGGCUCACCAAGGCGACGAUCCUUAGCUGGUCUGAGAGGAUGAUCAGCCACACUGGGACUGAGACACGGCCCAGACUCCUACGGGAGGCAGCAGUGGGGAAUAUUGGACAAUGGGCGAAAGCCUGAUCCAGCAAUGCCGCGUGAGUGAUGAAGGCCUUAGGGUUGUAAAGCUCUUUUACCCGGGAUGAUAAUGACAGUACCGGGAGAAUAAGCCCCGGCUAACUCCGUG